AUGCGGUCACGUCACGUUGAAACACCGGCUCUCGUAUGAUCACCGAAUUUAAGCAACGUCGAGCCUGCUCAGUACAUAGAUGGGUAACAGCUUGUGAAUGAAAGGUGUU
Molecule: non-coding RNA, 109 nt
Organism: Acanthosepion pharaonis
Lineage: Eukaryota; Metazoa; Mollusca; Cephalopoda; Sepiida; Sepiidae
Source: the annotation of a GenBank genome assembly